CUACAUUCUAGAAUGACUAGAUUCUGUUUCUAUGGGGGUAGGGGGGGGGGGAUGCAAUCUUGACAUAGAAAUAGAAUAACUACAUUCUAGAAUGACUAGAUUCUGUUUCUAUGUGGGUAGGUGGGGGGGAUGCAAUCUUGACAUAGAAAUAGAAUAACUACAUUCUAGAAUGACUAGAUUCUGUUUCUAUGGGGGUAGGUGGGAGUGGAUGCAAUCUUUCCGUAGUUCCGUAACAUCAGUAGCCAGGGGCACGUCACAAAGCCCAACACAUGAAUCAUACAACCUUAUUAAGAGAAACAACAAAUCAUCUAUCCUUGUGAAAAUAUCGGUUGAAUCUUUAAGAUUUCACUCAAAUAUUACGCUUCAGGUUUUAAAACUAAUUUACCACAACAAAUGGGUUAUACAUUUUAAGUAAUGACAUUCUGGUGAACAGACCAAUCUUGAAGAGUUGUGUUUCUACAUUGAAAAACAAACUGUAGAUCAAUGAAGUCACUCAGUGUGUUCUAUGAAUACCUCUGCAACCAUAUUACUGUAUGUUUGUACAGAUCUAACAUAGAGAUACAUAGAUAAAAGGACAACUGUUACUCAGCGAAAUUUGAAUGGCAGAACUAACUGAACUGACACUGUGUACGAGGUUACAGGAGGAAACAAGCUGUGAACUGAUUAGACUUUGACAUGAAUUAAUACCUGUUGCUGCAGAGCACUGUGGUGUUCGUUGUUUUAUUAGUAUUUUCAUCUAUCGCAUGCAAUAAACAAAAGAACACCAUAUCAUUUUCAAGAGGGGAAAUAUCUGUUAGAGAUACUACCACCAGAAGAGAUAUCGAAUUUUCAGUUUCAUUUUUGAAUAUGUAAAGUUGGGUGUAAUUCAAUAUAUGUACAAAAUGUUUGACAAUUCUGUUUUUGUAUAGUUGUGUUCAUGGACAGGGGGGGUAUCUUGUACUGUAAAAUGAACAAAAAAUUACUGGACAAUCAAACAGAGAAUUAGGAAAAAUUCUAGAAAGCUAUAAGAGUACGUAGGUUCCAGGUAAGGGAUGAGUACGUUCUGGAGUUAGUUAUUACGUAAGUUCCAGGUAAGGGAUGAGUACGUUCUGGAGUUAGUUAUUACGUAAGUUCCAGGUAAGGGAUGAGUACGUUCUGGAGUUAGUUAUUACGUAAGUUCCAGGUAAGGGAUGAGUACGUUCUGGAGUUAGUUAUUACGUAAGUUCCAGGUAAAGGAUGAGUACGUUCUGGAGUUAGUUAUUACGUAAGUUCCAGGUAAGGGAUGAGUACGUUCUGGAGUUAGUUAUUACGUAAGUUCCAGGUAAGGGAUGAGUACGUUCUGGAGUUAGUUAUUACGUAAGUUCCAGGUAAAGGAUGAGUACGUUCUGGAGUUAGUUAUUACGUAAGUUCCAGGUAAGGGAUGAGUACGUUCUGGAGUUAGUUAUUACGUAAGUUCCAGGUAAGGGAUGAGUACGUUCUGGAGUUAGUUAUUACGUAAGUUCCAGGUAAGGGAUGAGUACGUUCUGGAGUUAGUUAUUACGUAAGUUCCAGGUAAAGGAUGAGUACGUUCUGGAGUUAGUUAUUACGUAAGUUCCAGGUAAGGGAUGAGUACGUUCUGGAGUUAGUUAUUACGUAGGUUCCAGGUAAGGGAUGAGUACGUUCUGGAGUUAGUUAUUAUGUAGGUUCCAGGUAAGGGAUGAGCACGUUCUGGAGUUAGUCAUUAGUAAAAAGAUCCAGGGUGAAAUCCUUGUGAGAGUCAGAUGAUUUGAGCUUGAGAUGGGAUGGGAGGUAGGAUGGGUAUGUGCAUGCGUGUGCACUUGUGUGUGUAUGUGUGCGUGCGCAUCUGUGUGUGUGUGUAUGUAUUACGUGGACAGUGAGCAGAGCAGGUAGAGGUAGGGUCGUCGUUAGGUAGGGCAACGCACUACAAUUCCUCCCUGUACUCUUAGAAAAGAAGGUGCUAUCUAGAACCUGAAAGGGUUUUUCGGCUGUCCCAAUAGGAGAACCCUUUGAAGAACCCUUUUGGGUUCCAAGUAUAACCCUGUUAGUUCUAGGUAGAACCCUUUCGGGUUCCAUGUAGAACCCUUUCUACAGAGGGUUCUGCAUGGAACUAAAAAAGGGUUCUCCUAUGGGGAGAGCCGAAGAACCCUUUUGGAACCUUUUUUUCUGAGAGUGUGUGGUAUAAUUGUGUUAACAUUCUAUUUCAUCUUAUCGUUUUACAAACUGUUGGACUAUAAAACUACAGCCAUUCAUUUGCCUGGUGUUGAAAUGCCAUACUAUAUAUAUCUAGGCGUUUGGUGAACCUUUCUGUGGUCAAAAUGACACAAAAUGGCUGGUUAGACACUGGGGAACAUUGGGGAACAUUGGGGAACCAAGAGACAGGUACCUCUCUAUGCAUUGUGUGUCUCUUUUCAAUGUAGAUUAUGGUGCGACAACUUGCCAGGAUCUACAAGAUGACAUUCAUUAAUGACAAUAAUUAUACAGCGUUGUAUAGAAACUAUUUUUAAUCACAGGAUAUUUUAUCCAGAGAGUUAUUUUAUUAUCAUAUUGAAUAACCUAGAAGAGGAAUGAAGGUGAAACUGAAAGACAUUUCAUAUCAGAGUCUAUAACAAUAUCAUGAUUGAACUGAACUGGCUGAUGCUAAACGUGACGGUGCAUUCUUAGAAUGCAUCCCAAAUGGCACCCUAUUCCCUACCUAGUGCACUACCCCAUAGGGCUCUGGUCAAAAGUAGUGCACUACAUAGGGAAUAAAAGGGGGCCAUUUCUGACUCAGUCUUAGAAUAUGAACGUUAAACUAUAUGGUGUCAAAAUCCACCUUGGGUAGAUAUUUGGGAUCCUCUGAAGUCAUUUUUAAUUGUUCAUGUGGAUUAGUAACAGUAGUUUGACAUAAUCUGUAUGCAGCCAAAAAAAUAUAUAGAUUAUAUUUUGAUGAUUUGUGUUCCCAUUGCAAGUGUCUUUCAACUUUCGGUAAAGUAGCAAUGUAGCCAUUUCCCCCCCAGGCCAGGCCCCACAAACUAAAGACAUUGGUUUGUCUGAGGCCAGGCCCCACAGACUAAAGACAUUGGUUCGUCUGAGUCCAGGCCCCACAGACUAAAGACAUUGGUUCGUCUGAGUCCAGGCCCCACAAACUAAAGACAUUGGUUCGUCUGAGUCCAGGCCCCACAGACUAAAGACAUUGGUUCGUCUGAGUCCAGGCCCCACAAACUAAAGACAUUGGGUCGUCUGAGGCCAGGCCCCACAAACUAAAGACAUUGGUUUGUCUGAGUCCAGGCCCCACAGACUAAAGACAUUGGUUCGUCUGAGUCCAGGCCCCACAAACUAAAGACAUUGGGUUGUCUGAGGCCAGGCCCCACAAACUAAAGACAUUGGUUUGUCUGAGUCCAGGCCCCACAGACUAAAGACAUUGGUUCGUCUGAGUCCAGGCCCCACAAACUAAAGACAUUGGGUCGUCUGAGGCCAGGCCCCACAAACUAAAGACAUUGGUUCGUCUGAGGCCAGGCCCCACAGACAAACGUUUUCAAAUAAGAAACUAUUGCCUGCCUUUCCCUGAGACAUAUCCAAUGUGUGUAACAGGGCGAUUCCAUUUAAAUUCCAGUCAAUUCAGAAAGUAAACCAAAUUCUCAAUUCCAAUUCCAAAUUUCUCCUCUUUGAAAAUCAUUGGAGACAAUCGGAUUUGGAAUUUCAGUUUACUUCCUGAAUUGACUGGAAUUGAAAUGGAUUCGAGCCCAACCCUGAAGUGUAAUAACCCAACACAGAAGUGUAAUACCCCAACACAGAAGUGUAAUACCCCAACACAGAAGUGUAAUACCCCAACACAGAAGUGAGAGCCAGAGGUAAUAAUCUUCUCUUGUUUGCAUUGACCUAGACACCUUUUAACCUCGGAUACAAAAAAAAUACUGUUUUACUCUGAGACAUGAUUCCCUGAAGUUUUAAAACAAACAAAAACAUAUUCUCCUAUUGCACUGGUAUAGUGGAGCUUGUGAAGUGUUUUCCUUUUUACUGUAACCUGAAGUUAUAUUGAUGAUGAUAUGUGAUGAUUUGUGUAAAAGACUGUAUUUCCCCUAUUGAUUAAAAUAUAUUAUACAUGGUUCAUUAAUUUAGGAUGCAUGAUCAGGAUAGCACAGGCCAUGCUUCUGCCAAAGUGUUUCAGAGAGUCAGAAGUGUACUGGAAAGAACCAACACACACACAAAAAAAACGAUUUUGAAACUUUUUAACAUUAACAUUAAAACAUGAAAAACCUACUUUAAAAAAAGGCUGAAAAACAAAAGCAACUAUUUAAAAGGAUGAGUGGUACAGUGUAACUGGCUCGGGCGGUACAAGAUGCUCCUGGCUCAAAGCUGGAACAUAACCGAUUACAUCACCCUUUUUGUAUUUUUGUACAAAACUAAAUGUAAAUAGUAAACCUUUUUAAAAAUGUUGCAAAGAUCUUUUUUCCUUUUUUUUUGUAAAAUAUUUUCAAAAGUUUACAUGAUUAAUUAAUGAAUUAAUUCCAAGCCUUUGUAUAUUUUGGAGCUGUGCAACACUAUUUCAGUCUUGUAUUUAUUUUUUGGGUAAACGUGAGACCUCCAUUGACUGCAUUAUAUCGUAUUGAUUUGACAGCUCAUCCGACUGCUCAGCGACUGGGCAUAGAAAAGGACAAUAAAUGUGACUGCGUUUGAAAAGAAA
Oncorhynchus mykiss (rainbow trout) is the source of this 4642-nucleotide non-coding RNA. The record is from RefSeq and is a predicted model, not a curated record. Lineage: Eukaryota; Metazoa; Chordata; Actinopteri; Salmoniformes; Salmonidae.